AAAAAGGGCUUCUGUCAUGAGUGACACAUAAAGCAGCUCGUUUUUCUGCACGUGCUGAAUCGACAUCAAAAGAUUUCAGAAGCAUAAUUUUUGUUGUUUGGGCAGCUGGUGAUCGUUGGUCUUGGUGUCAUU
Erinaceus europaeus (western European hedgehog) is the source of this 132-nucleotide small nuclear RNA. NCBI's taxonomy places the organism in Eukaryota, Metazoa, Chordata, Mammalia, Eulipotyphla, Erinaceidae. The record is from Ensembl.